UAAGAGAGGCAUUAACCUGUUUAUCAGUCAUUAGAAUAACGGCAUACUCCGACCGAAGUCAAGCUGACAGUGAGGGGGUGGCUAUAACAAACCUAAUCAAUCCUCUACAUNGAUCCGUCCUUGCUAUUUCCUGCGCUGUUACUUUAAGAUUUUCCGUGAUGCGAUCAUCAAGGAAAGNUUAAAGAGUUAGUUAANUAUUCAUUAUUUUGGGCGCACACAUUAAUAUACUUCGCAACGGAAUAUGUCGUUAGAUGAUAAUGUAAGUCAAGAGUGCUAUUUUUUCACAACAAUGAGAAGGAGAUGAAGAAUCAAUGAAGCCGANGGCAAGAGGUAGAGAUAGAUAGUANUGGUUUGUUUUUAUUAUCGCUGUUAUUCUUUCUGUCUUAUGAUAAUUGCACAAAGGAAUUAUAGUUCCGUUUGCAACAAAUAUGCGAUGCAUUAAUUUAUGCANAUAUGCUGUAUGCAUGGCACCAUAAAAAUGUNUAAUGCCUGAAAUAGUCCAAUCAUAUUUAUCCAUUAAACAAACACAUCAUACACCAAACGUCUGGUGAACACAAAUACUGAAGACCUUGCUUGCUGGACUGUCCUGGUAAGAAAUAGCACAUACACUUACACAAUUGCUUGCCUACAAGCCGGCUUUGAACCUUCUUGCACUCAUGUACAUUGAAACCUGAACGCCUUUUGCCAAAGCUGUCGAAAAUUGAUCCUUAUUGAGCAGGUUGACUUUGCUUAAUUUAAUAUUUACUUUCACUCAUAUACUUAUCAACUGAGCUUUGACCGAGCAUGCUUUUCGACUAGGCUUUCUCAGAUGGUAACGUUAGAAAGGUCCUAAUACUUCUUUUUUUCGUCGAAUGAAUUUGAGAUAUUUUAUGUCUAUUCAAGAUAUUUGAUGAACUAAAAGUGAAUUUGUGCAAAACGCCCACAAUAGAAUUUUAAUACGCCAACUACUUGAUAUCACUAGUCUUGGUAAAACUGACGUACCACGAUACUAUUGAUAGUCAGUUUUAAUAGAUUGGCAUAUACAGAAAUAUCUUUUUGAUUUAGUAUGAUAAGUAGCAUAUUCACUAAAGAUUAUAAUUACAAAAACUGAAUUUUCGAAAGGGAACAAAAUAACAACAGGAAAAAAAAGAAAAGAAGAAAAAAAAUCCCCUGUAAAACUGGCCUUGAUAGUCGCCUUGAUAUAGAUUAUUUUAUGGUGCGGAGUAUUUCACAUUAUGAGAUGAUAACUAUUAGUGUAUCAAUGACGGUCUGUUUUUAUUUCCACGGGUGAUUAGCCCCAUGAAGCAAAACAUCAUCAACUUGUUUUUCUCACUGCUGAACAUUUGAAAAUAAAUUAUUCAUUCAUAUCAAAAGGGAAGGCAGUCAAAGGAGACUAAUUACACUAUUCAUUNCUCGCGACAUGAUCGCAUCAAUUCUCAGAAGGGGUUUGGAUUCCAUUUUACAGGAGGAGCCGGUUACUUUUGUUCUUCCAAAUAAGUGUUCUAAUACGAUUUCUUUCCUGGGAAUGGAAUUCUGACAAGCAAUUGUAGACCUUCCCUAAGAUACAGAUAACUGAGACAAAAUUAAACACUCCCUAAAGAUAUAUUUCUCCCAGGAACCCGGCGUUAUGCAAAUGCUCAGUGUCGGCAUUUUACCUUCUCUAAUCCUAACAAGCAGUCAAAAGAGGAUAAAAUA
Molecule: long non-coding RNA, 1674 nt
Filed under: Exaiptasia diaphana
Lineage: Eukaryota; Metazoa; Cnidaria; Anthozoa; Actiniaria; Aiptasiidae
Description: uncharacterized LOC110239004
Source: RNAcentral